Macadamia integrifolia is the source of this 1266-nucleotide long non-coding RNA. RefSeq lists it as uncharacterized. Lineage: Eukaryota; Viridiplantae; Streptophyta; Magnoliopsida; Proteales; Proteaceae. The record is from RefSeq and is a predicted model, not a curated record. The transcript is spliced from 3 exons.
GCCUGAAGACGUAGCACACCACCCUAGUGUAUGAACCUCGUUAAAUCUCUGUGUCGUGCGGAUCUAUUGUCUAUUUAUUUUUCGUAUUUCUUAGUGUUUGAUCUAACACUCUCUUGGGUCGUGCCUCUUGGAAGUUUUGAUCAGAGCCCAGUCUCUUGUGCCCUUUUUAUGAAGGCCAUUUACCAUCCGCGGACAUCGGUCCUUGAUGUUGGCCUUGGAUCGUACCCCUGAUGAGGUUGGCACAACAUCAUUUAUGGUAGGGAUCUCUUCCUGCUUUGGGCUGACUUGGAAGAUAGGUAAUGCUUGCUUGGUCCUUAUUUGGGAAGACCAUUGGAUCCCCUCCUUGCCAAAUCAGAUGUCUCCCUCUUUGAAGCCCUUGGGCUGCCUUUGAUUUGGGUUUCUGAGUUUAUAGAUCGUGCUAAUAGAUGUUGGAAUCAUGUUUUAUUAGCUACUCUUUUUCCUAUUCUAUUCAAGUGGCCAUUUUGAGUAUCCCUUCAAGCGUUUCAGAUUGUGAAGACCGCCUCAUAUGGGGGGUUUUCUGAUUAAAAGGGCUUACUGCCUUGCGUAAAAUCAAGCUGAUAGCCGAUUCAGUGCUCAUUCUUCUUCCUCUGUUUCCCACGGAUAUCAAAGAAUUAAAGAUCAGACUUGGAAAUUCAUCAGGCGUAAUAAGGCCCUCCCAAAGAUUCGGUCCUUUCUUCGGAGGUGGUGUGCGGAUGGGGUAAAUGUGGGUGAAGGCUUUCAACGACGGCACAUGCGGCUUGAUUCCUCUUAUGCUUGUUAUGAUAUGGAAAGCGAGUAACUCUCUUGUGCACAACAAGAUCUCCAUCCCUUUGGAGAAUGUUAUUCAUAGGGCCCUCAAUUCUUUUGCGGAUUUUAGUCAAGCGUCGACUCCUUUCAGCGGCCACUACAGCCCUCCUCUUCCCAUCAGGGUUGUCAUUGAAGGUUGACCCUCCGCUAUCUUUGAGAUCGUUUCCUAGCAGCUAAUCCUCUUUGUUAAUUCAAAGCACUUCAAUGCUGAAAUUAAGUUUCUCAGUUGUGGAAGACACCAUCCACCUCUCUUCUUUGUUUGUGGAGUGCAUCUUCCAUUUAGCCGCCGUCAUGGAACAAACCAUGUUGAUCAGUCCCUCUCAUGCAAGGCUUUCUUUUCCCUAUUCUAAUUGAGUUCUUUUGUAAUGACCCCUGACUUAACUCUAUUUUGCUCAGGGAGGUAUCCUAUGUAACUAAUUCCUCUUUCGAAGAUUUUAAUGAAUGAUGCUUCUUCUACCU